Molecule: regulatory RNA element, 80 nt
Rfam family: c-di-GMP-I riboswitch aptamer
About the family: GEMM was predicted in a large-scale screen for bacterial structured RNA regulatory elements.
Source: Rfam
CCGACGAAAAGGCAAAGCACGGGCAACCGUGUGACGCAAAGCUACCUGUCCAGUUGCAACUGGAUAGAGGGGCUGCCGAA